UUUGUACUGUGAAACUGCGAAUGGCUCAUUAAAUCAGUUAUCGUUUAUUUGAUAGUACCCUACUACAUGGAUACCUGUGGUAAUUCUAGAGCUAAUACAUGCGCAAAACCCCGACUUCGGAAGGGGUGUAUUUAUUAGAUAAAAAACCAAUGCCCUUCGGGGCUCCUUGGUGAUUCAUAAUAACUUAACGAAUCGCAUGGCCUUGCGCCGGCGAUGGUUCAUUCAAAUUUCUGCCCUAUCAACUUUCGAUGGUAGGAUAGUGGCCUACCAUGGUGGCAACGGGUAACGGGGAAUUAGGGUUCGAUUCCGGAGAGGGAGCCUGAGAAACGGCUACCACAUCCAAGGAAGGCAGCAGGCGCGCAAAUUACCCAAUCCCGAUCCGGGGAGGUAGUGACAAUAAAUACUGAUAUAGGGCUCUUUUGGGUCUUAUAAUUGGAAUGAGUACAAUCUAAAUCUCUUAACGAGGAACAAUUGGAGGGCAAGUCUGGUGAACCAUUAGUAGUUCUUCUGCUGACGCCAGAGAUAGUAGGGCCUUUCGGGGCUAUGCCUGCUAGUCGAGCAUUCACAAUAGCGAUGGGUGAAUGCCGGCGAGGUGACCUGGUACGGGGAAGCCUGCAGGCCCGGAGCGCCGUGCUCCGGGCUAUGGCAAUCCCGUGGUGAGUCCUCCGAGGACCGCCGUAACGCGCGGAAAGGCACCGGUCACACCUGUGACUCGAGGGACGUGCUGUCCCAUCCGAAAGGAUGCCAGCCACUGGAGCACCCAUCGUGCAAAGGUGGUUGGGGGUCGCUUUAGCGACCUGGACCGCCCACGGCGCCCCCCGGCGAGGGGCGUUCGGGGUGGAUUAACGGCCAGCAGCCGCGGUAAUUCCAGCUCCAAUAGCGUAUAUUAAAGUUGUUGCAGUUAAAAAGCUCGUAGUUGAACCUUGGGCCCGUCCUGCCGGUCCGCCUCACCGCGAGUACUGGUCCGGAUGGGUCUUUCUUUCUGGGGAAUCCCAUGGCCUUCACUGGCUGUGGCGGGGAACCAGGACUUUUACUGUGAAAAAAUUAGAGUGUUCAAAGCAGGCCUUUGCUCGGAUACAUUAGCAUGGAAUAAUAAAAUAGGACGUGUGGUUCUAUUUUGUUGGUUUCUAGGACCGCCGUAAUGAUUAAUAGGGAUAGUCGGGGGCGUCAGUAUUCAGCUGUCAGAGGUGAAAUUCUUGGAUUUGCUGAAGACUAACUACUGCGAAAGCAUUCGCCAAGGAUGUUUUCAUUAAUCAGGGAACGAAAGUUAGGGGAUCGAAAACGAUCAGAUACCGUUGUAGUCUUAACCAUAAACUAUGCCGACUAGGGAUCGGGCGGUGUUUCUAUGAUGACCCGCUCGGCACCUUACGAGAAAUCAAAG
RNAcentral lists this ribosomal RNA (1381 nucleotides) under Talaromyces wortmannii. RNAcentral describes it as "partial small subunit ribosomal RNA". It matches the Rfam family "Eukaryotic small subunit ribosomal RNA", at positions 73 to 1103 of the family's 1831-position model. The record is from RNAcentral. Lineage: Eukaryota; Fungi; Ascomycota; Eurotiomycetes; Eurotiales; Trichocomaceae.